RNA transcript from Ziziphus jujuba (common jujube), 884 nucleotides. It is a transcript of the gene named protein SAMBA, with no coding region annotated. The record is from RefSeq and is a predicted model, not a curated record. The transcript has 4 exons. NCBI's taxonomy places the organism in Eukaryota, Viridiplantae, Streptophyta, Magnoliopsida, Rosales, Rhamnaceae.
AUUUCCAUUUCUGCAGAAAGAAAGAAAGAAAGAGAGAGAUGAAUAGCUCAUCACCGGCACAUUCUUCGAUAUCAACCACCGCAAUUGUGGGAGGUGGAGGAGGAGGAGGAAAUAGCAGCAAUGCUGCUUUGUCUAAUGAUGAUUUCUUCGUUCCUCCCCCUGACGUUAUCUCUAUUCAAGAUCGCAAAGACGAAGCCAUGCUUGUUAUAAAAUCUGAUCUAAUGGCAGCACUUAACAAGGUGGUUAAAUCCCUGGAUGAAGAUAACUGGAUGUUUGAAGGACCUGUCUCCCGUAUCAACCUUAUAUCUCGACAAGGUGGUUUUCUCCAUAAGAAGAUAGAAAUUUCAAAGAACAGGAAUUUGGCCCCACCAAGAUGAUUCGUACUUCUUCAGCUAGCAAGGAUCUUGCAUCUGUAUUCUAUUAAUAGGUUGCCUCUGAUGCUGCUUUCUUGAAUGGGAAGAGCAUGCAAUAUAUGUCAAAUAUCCAUUGCAAAACAUAUGCUGGAAGAUUGUUGCGUUGUCCAAACUUGUGAAAUAACAUAGUUGAGCAAAUAUUCCAAGUUCUGUUGUAAAAUUUUUUUCUCGUAUUUCUUGUUAUCUUCGUCCUUAUUUAUGGUCAGCUUAUCAGAACUUACUCGGAAAGAGGAGCAAGUAUCCUACAUCGGUUGGUCCCAACUGCUGAAAAUUUUUCAGAGCAUCAAGUUUGAGAUUUUUACACGACGUGCUGAUAUAGCACCAUGACAACCAACCCCUACAACAAACACCGCCAGCUUACAGAAUUAUAAUUGUUUGUUUAGCAGUAAAUCCAGUCACUUUGUUUCUAGGCUAUAACUUGUAAUCACAUUCUAAAUUGAAAUUCUAUUGCAAAAUCUGUCUCAUGUCAAA